This 324-nucleotide unclassified non-coding RNA is filed under the name soil metagenome. RNAcentral's name for it is "partial contains 5.8S ribosomal RNA, internal transcribed spacer 2, and large subunit ribosomal RNA". The stretch from base 1 to 120 matches the Rfam family "5.8S ribosomal RNA", at positions 35 to 154 of the family's 154-position model. The record is from RNAcentral.
GAUGAAGAACGCAGCGAAAUGCGAUAAGUAGUGUGAAUUGCAGAAUUCAGUGAAUCAUCGAAUCUUUGAACGCACAUUGCGCCCCUUGGUAUUCCGGGGGGCAUGCCUGUUCGAGCGUCAUUAUAACCCUCAAGCCUAGCUUGGUGUUGGAGCAUGCUACCUAAGCAGCUCUUAAAAUCAGUGGCAGUGCCCUUCGGCUCUAAGCGUAGUAACUUCUCUCGCUAUGGAACCCGGAGGGUACGCGCCAGAACCCCCAACUUUCUAUGGUUGACCUCGGAUCAGGUAGGGAUACCCGCUGAACUUAAGCAUAUCAAUAACGGAGGA